Molecule: long non-coding RNA, 1615 nt
Organism: Esox lucius (northern pike)
Lineage: Eukaryota; Metazoa; Chordata; Actinopteri; Esociformes; Esocidae
Source: Ensembl
CUUUCUAAAAUGCUCUUGGGAAACAGGUGUUUUGACACCUCUUUUCAAGUCUUAAAGGGGUAGUUUGGGAUUUUGAUAAACAGAUGAGUAUCUUUAUCAUCUUCUCCAGAGACAAACUAACAUGUGGUUACCAUUGUAAUGUAGGGGUUGAAUUUCAGCAAGAAUUAACAGAAUGAUUGGAAAACCUCUGGAAGGGCUUAGCAUGCAAGCUAUUACCAAAGACUUUCAGGGUGGCGCUAACACCCAGGUAGUGAUUAUUCGAACUGCCUACAAGGAUAUAAAAGUAGUACCAUCAAGUUAAUGAUCAUCAAGUAGACUCGGGAGAAGUUGAUAAAUGACCCCAUUGUCUAGAUCAUCUAUUGAGCCGUGUUGUCACCAGUCGUGUCGUGUUUUUAACCAUCAUGUGUGUAUUGUGUCCCAUGUAAACAGGUGUUUGUUCCAUUCUGUUUGUAACUGUCGUUCCCUCCUCCUUCGCCUGCAGCCUCUUCCACCACCCCCCCGCCACCGUGGCCGUAGCAUGUCCGUUUGCGUCCCCCACUUUUCCACCGCCCCUUCUGCUCUGUCCUGCCUCCCCAACCGGCCCUCCACCCCUCCCCUGGUGCUCUCUGCCCCCCACUCCCCCCGCGGGGGGUCGGACGACGGCGACACAUUUGCCGGCCGGCUCUCCAAGGCCCUGGAGAGCGUCCUGCCCCUGCACUCGACCCCUCCUCGCCCGCGGCAACAACGCCGAGCAAGUCUCCCGGCACUGUUUGCCAGCCCUCCGCAGCCUGUGAGUCACCAGUACAGCAGUGGGGGAGGAGCCUCGGCAGGCCUCCCAGAACCCCCGCCGCCUCUCUUUUUCCCCACCCUCCCGGAGCGACCAAUCUCCUUCUCGCCGCCGCCCGCCUGCCCCCCCUCCAAGGCCUACAGCAGCCAGCGGCGCAAGAGUACGUCGAUCCUGGAAGCCCACACGCGCCACUUCCAGCCCGCCUACCCCCGCUACGCCAGCAGCCUGGGCCCUUACCACCCGGGGAUGGAAGGCCUGAGCGUUGGGGGCGCCGGGCUGGACGGGCGGCUGGGACCGGACCCCGCGUCCCUCUUCGUGGUGCCCGGCUACGCCGCGCCGCGGACGGGGUCAGCGGGGGAGCCCGCGCGCCCCCACCUCCAAGGCCAGUCCCUCCAGGACCCGCUGUACGGCUACAAGGACGCGAGGGCGGAGCAGCAGGAGGAGGUGGUGGAGGCCGUGCGGCGGCUGAGCCUGAACCAGGCGGCGCUGCUGGACCACUUCGAGGCCAUGGCCUACAGCGGUUACCCCAUGACUGCUCACCAGAUCAACCAGAUCAGCUUCCACCAGCAGAUGCAGGCCGCCGCUGCCGCCGGCCUGGCCGCCUACCACCCCCAUGCGCCGGGCCCACACGUGUGCCUCGCUCACAGCCCCGCCCCUCAGCUGCCACCCACAAGCGCCCCGGGCGCCCGGGCCCCUCGUCCCGCCGACGGUUACCAGCUGCAGCACGCCGGCUCCUUCCCCCAGUCGGCCCCGCCGGUCAUGGAGCCGCCGCACGCCGGUGUCUUCGAUUUCCACGUCCAGAGUGUGGCCGCCGAUCCCGGCGCGCUGGCCACCAGGCUGUACCGGGCC